This 797-nucleotide ribosomal RNA is filed under the name Helix melanostoma. Its description in RNAcentral is "partial 16S ribosomal RNA". The record is from RNAcentral. Lineage: Eukaryota; Metazoa; Mollusca; Gastropoda; Stylommatophora; Helicidae.
AUUAAUUAGAUAGUAUAGUAAAUACACUAUCACGAAAGGCCGUGAGCUAAGCAAAUAUAGAAGGUUAAAAUACGUCGCAUAGUAUUUUUUUAAUAUGUGCUUAGGGGUGAUAGGCCUUCCAAACUGCCUGAUAACUUGUUUCAUAUGAAAAGUAUUUAGUACAAAAACAGUCUUAAAAAGUUAAGCUUUUAAGAAAUUAUAAAACACAUUCUGGCUUUUAAUAUAGUAUAACAGCUAAUUAGUAAUUAAUCUAAAUAUUAAUUAUGGCUUUUUAUAAUUAUUAAUAUGAUAACUUAACUUACUCUGCAGUUUGAUAAUGUUAAUAUAAGUAUUACUCUAAGUGUGUUAAAGGAACUCGGCAAAUAACCGCUCAACUGUUUAUCAAAAACAUAGCUAUAUGAGAUAAUAUAUAGUUAUUUCUGCUCCAUGUUUAUUAAAUAGCCGCAGUACCCUGACUGUGCAAAGGUAGCAUAAUCAGUUGGCUUUUAAUUAGAGUCUGGUAUGAAUGAAAAUAUGGGUGGUGACUGUCUUAACAUAUUUUACUGAAUUUAUUGAGCAAGUGCAAAUACUUGUAAAUUUACAAAAGACGAGAAGACCCUAGAAACUUGAAGUAGUUUUUGUUGGGGCGACAGAAUUACAUUUAACUAAUUUUAAACGACAUGACAUUCAAUUGAAGGAAUAAGUUACUCUAGGGAUAACAGCAUAAUUUAAAUAGUUUGUGACCUCGAUGUUGGACUAGGUAUUAUACUCUUAAGGCAAGAGUAUAAAAUGCUCUGUUCGAGCACGUGCACCUACAU